This 551-nucleotide long non-coding RNA is filed under the name Dromaius novaehollandiae (emu). Its description in RNAcentral is "lncRNA (ENSDNVG00000011648.1)". The record is from RNAcentral. Lineage: Eukaryota; Metazoa; Chordata; Aves; Casuariiformes; Dromaiidae.
UAAUUUCUCUGAACUGUUUUUUCCUCCUAAAAUUUUCUAGGGGCUGCAUGUGUGCUUCUCGUCCCUUACAAGAGGAGGGGAAGCAGCCCGCUGAGGGCGAUGGAAACAAGUGCUUUGCCUAGUGUGGGGAAACGGUGAUGUUAAAGCCCGGGGCUGAUGUGCCUGCUUUAGCCUCUGAGAGCCUGAACAAAUGGAGCUUGCUUGGCCACGCGGGAAAGUGGGGUCUGCAAGAAGAUUCAAGCUUUACAAUUUAUGUCCCAGGGAAACGUGAAGCRAUCCCGAGGAUCAGAUCGAUAAUUUCAGCCCAUCAGAAGAAGGAAGAUACCUUGUUUCAGAGUAUGCUCCCUCAGUGAACCCGCUGCCCGUGGAGUGUAACAGGCUGAAGAUGCUGCCGCGCCUGCCCGGCCUCUACUUGUGAAUGGGACUCGCCCCGCGCCGGCUCCGCAGGCGGCCGAGGGCAGCAGCCGCCCGCCCGGGCGCCAGGUGAGGGGCGCCGCGGCCGCGCCGAGCCCCUGCGAGCCGCGGGGUGGGGCAGGGGCAGGGGCAGGGGC